This is a non-coding RNA of Trichonephila clavata, 72 nucleotides long. The record is from the annotation of a GenBank genome assembly. NCBI's taxonomy places the organism in Eukaryota, Metazoa, Arthropoda, Arachnida, Araneae, Nephilidae.
AGCAGAGUAGUGCAGUGGAAGCAUGCUAGGCCCAUAACCUAGAGGUCCGUGAAUCGAAAUCACGCUCUGCUA